RNAcentral lists this ribosomal RNA (305 nucleotides) under uncultured bacterium. RNAcentral describes it as "bacterial SSU rRNA". It matches the Rfam family "Bacterial small subunit ribosomal RNA", at positions 334 to 631 of the family's 1533-position model. The record is from RNAcentral.
GGGUCCUACGGGGGGCAGCAGUAGGGAAUUUUCGUCAAUGGGCGCAAGCCUGAACGAGCGAUGCCGCGUGAGUGAAGAAGGCCUUCGGGUCGUAAAGCUCUGUUGCGGGGGAAAAAAGGCAGCAUCAGGAAAUGGGUGCUGACUGAUGGUGCCCCGCCAGAAAGUCACGGCUAACUACGUGCCAGCAGCCGCGGUAAUACGUAGGUGGCGAGCGUUAUCCGGAAUGAUUGGGCGUAAAGGGUGCGUAGGCGGUGCUGCAAGUCUGGAGUGAAAGGGAUGAGUUCAACUUAUGCAUGGGUUUGGAA